Molecule: small RNA, 104 nt
Filed under: Epilithonimonas xixisoli
Lineage: Bacteria; Pseudomonadati; Bacteroidota; Flavobacteriia; Flavobacteriales; Weeksellaceae
Description: Chryseobacterium xixisoli Flavo-1 RNA
Source: RNAcentral
UCCGCGACCCGGCUUGAGCGGAAAUCCUUUUUUGCGUGUACGAAAGUUCUAUUUAAACUGAAACCGUCUGCAAAAAAGAUUGGGAGCGGAAGACGGAAAUUGUC